UACAGAGGGUGCAAACGUUGCUCGGAAUUAUUGGGCGUAAAGCGCGUGUAGGCGGCUUGUUAAGUUGGUUGUGAAAACCCAUGGCUCAACCAUGGAAGUGCGUCCAAAACUGGCAAGCUAGAGUUCUGACGAGGAUGGCGGAAUUCCCAGUGUAGAGGUGAAAUUCGUAGAUAUCAAGCGGAACACCGGUGGCGAAGGCGGCCUUCUGGACGAUGACUGACGCUGAGACGCGAAAGCGUGGGGAGCAAACAGG
This 253-nucleotide ribosomal RNA is filed under the name uncultured bacterium. Its description in RNAcentral is "partial 16S ribosomal RNA". It matches the Rfam family "Bacterial small subunit ribosomal RNA", at positions 524 to 776 of the family's 1533-position model. The record is from RNAcentral.